This 204-nucleotide non-coding RNA is filed under the name Pseudogulbenkiania sp. NH8B. The record is from RNAcentral. RNAcentral also lists the same sequence under 1 other name. Lineage: Bacteria; Pseudomonadati; Pseudomonadota; Betaproteobacteria; Neisseriales; Chromobacteriaceae.
UUACACGGCUCGUCUUUCGGUGCCUACGGGGGAAGCCCUGGGGAGAAUCGGGAAGGCGGUGCAAUUCCGCCACGUGCCCAACGCUGUGAGGAGGACGAACGGAACAACGGGAAUUGUAAGUCCCCAAGCCACUGACUCAGGUCGGGAAGGCGUUCCGGACGGAUGAGUCCGAGUCAGAAGACCGGCCGGGAGAUGAAACAGGCU